RNAcentral lists this long non-coding RNA (291 nucleotides) under Hordeum vulgare. RNAcentral describes it as "long non-coding RNA (HVUL_LNC011715)". Lineage: Eukaryota; Viridiplantae; Streptophyta; Magnoliopsida; Poales; Poaceae. The record is from RNAcentral.
UUGCACCGUCUACUGUGUCUAUUGCGUCCGGUGCAACCCGGGCCGCAGGUGUGGCUGAUCGAUUUCAAAAAUAGUUCCACCUUCCGCAUAUCGAAUAAUAGUUUCCCCUUCUGCAUUACUUCUUUGAUUUGGUAAGCUGCAGUGUCUGUAUUUUUUAAAAUAUGAUUGUUUCCCUCAUCUAUAUUUUACCAUGUGAUUUCUUUCACUGCAUAAGGUCCGUAAUUGUAUUGAAAUUUGGAUUGCUUAUUGUAUUGUCUUCAAUAAUAUAAAGUUUAUUCCUGAAUUAAUGAA